Molecule: unclassified non-coding RNA, 330 nt
Filed under: soil metagenome
Description: partial contains 5.8S ribosomal RNA, internal transcribed spacer 2, and large subunit ribosomal RNA
Rfam family: 5.8S ribosomal RNA (bases 1-120)
Source: RNAcentral
GAUGAAGAACGCAGUGAAAUGCGAUAAGUAAUGUGAAUUGCAGAAUUCAGUGAAUCAUCGAAUCUUUGAACGCACAUUGCGCCCCUUGGUAUUCCGAGGGGCAUGCCUGUUCGAGCGUCAUUAUAACCCCUCAAGCUUAGCUUGGUGUUGGGGCCUGCUGUAAUAGAGCAGCCCUUAAAAUCAGUGGCGGUGCCAUUAGGCUCUAAGCGUAGUAAUUCUUCUCGCUAUAGGGUUCUGGUGGAUGCUUGCCAUUAACCUCUAAUUUUCUAUGGUUGACCUCGGAUCAGGUAGGGAUACCCGCUGAACUUAAGCAUAUCAAUAAGCGGAGGA